Molecule: ribosomal RNA, 492 nt
Filed under: uncultured bacterium
Lineage: Bacteria
Description: partial 16S ribosomal RNA
Rfam family: Bacterial small subunit ribosomal RNA
Source: RNAcentral
AGUGAACGCUGGCGGUAGGCCUAACACAUGCAAGUCGAACGGCAGCACAGUAAGAGCUUGCUCUUACGGGUGGCGAGUGGCGGACGGGUGAGGAAUACAUCGGAAUCUACUUUUUCGUGGGGGAUAACGUAGGGAAACUUACGCUAAUACCGCAUACGACCUACGGGUGAAAGCAGGGGAUCUUCGGACCUUGCGCGAUUGAAUGAGCCGAUGUCGGAUUAGCUAGUUGGCGGGGUAAAGGCCCACCAAGGCGACGAUCCGUAGCUGGUCUGAGAGGAUGAUCAGCCACACUGGAACUGAGACACGGUCCAGACUCCUACGGGAGGCAGCAGUGGGGAAUAUUGGACAAUGGGCGCAAGCCUGAUCCAGCCAUACCGCGUGGGUGAAGAAGGCCUUCGGGUUGUAAAGCCCUUUUGUUGGGAAAGAAAAGCAGCAGGCUAAUACCCCGCUGUUCUGACGGUACCCAAAGAAUAAGCACCGGCUAACUUCAUG